Molecule: ribosomal RNA, 587 nt
Filed under: uncultured fungus
Lineage: Eukaryota; Fungi
Description: eukaryotic LSU rRNA
Rfam family: 5.8S ribosomal RNA (bases 231-384)
Source: RNAcentral
AGGAUCAUUAUCGUAGAAUGGAGGUGCUGAGGUUGUUGCUGACUUUUGAAAGGGUUGUGCACGCCUCGGUGCUCUCACACAUAAUCCAUCUCACCCCUUUGUGCAUCACCGGCGUGAGGGCCCCCUUUUGGCUAGUUCUGAGGGGGGUUUUCAUGUUUUUACACAGACACCCUUUAAUGCAAUGUGUAGAAUGUCUUACUUUUUUUUUUGCGAUCACAUGCAAUUAAUACAACUUUCAACAACGGAUCUCUUGGCUCUUGCAUCGAUGAAGAACGCAGUGAAAUGUGAUAUGUAAUGUGAAUUGCAGAAUUCAGUGAAUCAUCGAAUCUUCGAACGCACAUUGCGCCCAUUAGUAUUCUAGUGGGCAUGCCUGUUCGAGCGUCAUUUCAACCCUUAAGCCCAGCUUAGUGUUGGGAAUCUACUUCUUUUAUUAGUUGUAGUUCCUGAAAUACAACGGCGGAUUUGUAGUAUCCUCUGAGCGUAGUAAUUUUUUUCUCGCUUUUGUUAGGUGCUACAACUCCCAGCCGCUAAACCCCCAAUUUUUUGUGGUUGACCUCGGAUCAGGUAGGAAUACCCGCUGAACUUAA